RNAcentral lists this ribosomal RNA (456 nucleotides) under Terrahaemophilus aromaticivorans. RNAcentral describes it as "bacterial SSU rRNA". It matches the Rfam family "Bacterial small subunit ribosomal RNA", at positions 30 to 473 of the family's 1533-position model. The record is from RNAcentral. Lineage: Bacteria; Pseudomonadati; Pseudomonadota; Gammaproteobacteria; Pasteurellales; Pasteurellaceae.
AUUGAACGCUGGCGGCAGGCUUAACACAUGCAAGUCGAACGGUAACAUAAAGAAGCUUGCUUCUUUGAUGACGAGUGGCGGACGGGUGAGUAAUGCUUGGGAAUCUGGCUUAUGGAGGGGGAUAACUACGGGAAACUGUAGCUAAUACCGCGCAGAAUCGGGAGAUGAAAGUGUGGGACCUUCGGGCCACAUGCCAUAGGAUGAGCCCAAGUGGGAUUAGGUAGUUGGUGAGGUAAAGGCUCACCAAGCCGACGAUCUCUAGCUGGUCUGAGAGGAUGACCAGCCACACUGGGACUGAGACACGGCCCAGACUCCUACGGGAGGCAGCAGUGGGGAAUAUUGCGCAAUGGGGGCAACCCUGACGCAGCCAUGCCGCGUGAAUGAAGAAGGCCUUCGGGUUGUAAAGUUCUUUCGGUAGCGAGGAAGGCAUUUGGUUUAAUAGACUAGGUGAUUGAC